CCUACGGGACGCACCAGUGGGAAAUAUUGCACAAUGGGCGCAAGCCUGAUGCAGCCAUGCCGCGUGUAUGAAGAAGGCCUUCGGGUUGUAAAGUACUUUCAGCGGGGAGGAAGGCGAUAAGGUUAAUAACCUUGUCGAUUGACGUUACCCGCAGAAGAAGCACCGGCUAACUCCGUGCCAGCAGCCGCGGUAAUACGGAGGGUGCAAGCGUUAAUCGGAUUUACUGGGCGUAAAGCGCACGCAGGCGGUCCGUCAAGUCGGAUGUGAAAUCCCCGGACUCAACCUAGGAACUGCAUUCGAAACUGGCAGGCUAGAGUCUUGUAGAGGGGGGUAGAAUUCCAGGUGUAGCGGUGAAAUGCGUAGAGAUCUGGAGGAAUACCGGUGGCGAAGGCGGCCCCCUGGACAAAGACUGACGCUCAGGUGCGAAAGCGUGGGGAGCAAACAGGAUUAGAUACCCCAGUAGUC
RNAcentral lists this ribosomal RNA (465 nucleotides) under uncultured bacterium. Its description in RNAcentral is "bacterial SSU rRNA". It matches the Rfam family "Bacterial small subunit ribosomal RNA", at positions 338 to 795 of the family's 1533-position model. The record is from RNAcentral.